UCAUCAUAAUCAUCAAAUUAUUUUAUGAAUUAAUUUAACUGGCAUUCAAUGAAGAGAAGUUUAUUAUUUUGGAGUUCAUGUAAUAGUUCACUAUCAGCAGGCAAAGGAUCAUCAUGUCAUCCCAGUGAUCCCAAUAAAGUUUAACCACACGUGAAAUCAUCUUCAGAGGGUUCUAAGAGUGAAAUCUUGUAAAGGUGUAUUUAAAUAUCAAGAGGAGAUUUAGACAAGUCUAUCAUCAGGACAUAGUUAAUUACUAUACAUAAGCAGUUAUCAAUAAUGAAUUUCACACUCAAUUAGCAGCAGCAAAAUGUACUUGAAUAAUUAAUUAUAUGGAAGCAUAACAAUGUUAUUAAUUAAUCAAUGUAGGACCCCCUGCAACAGUUAUAACACAUAACACUGAGGGGGCGGCCUAUAAUUUAUAAACUAGGGGGCUGUUUUGGGGGUAAUUGCGGAUAACGAUGGGGCGUUGCGGAUAACAAGCCGACAUGGGAGUCACGAGACACCAAUGCUUGCACUCCUGUCUUCCACCGUAAUGUCAUGUAACCGUGAAGUAAAUCAUAUGAAGAGUUACUUCAGUAUUGAAUCAAUAUUCUGUUCAUUCACCUUAAAAAAUGAGAAAAAAAUUCAGUAAAGCUUUUGACCAUAAUUGGAUAAAAAAUAGAUGUAAAAAAGUGUCCAUGAGAUUAAGAAAAAAGAAAAUAGAGAACAUCUAACAGAAAAUUUGUCAGUUUUUAAAUAAAAUGAACAGUUUGUUAUGGUAGUAGUGGUUGUGAUCUUGGUGUAUAGCAAAGCAACAGCAGGAAUAGCAGCUACAGAAAUGAGGAUAUGGUACAGGAUGCCUCGAGGGGUUACAAUACGAUUUGUCGCGACGGUUUCUAUUGUACUUUGAGAUUUCAAUAGGGCAUUACGACAAUAAGCCAUUGACAAUGUAGGUACACGCGUUACGCAAAGGGCGAAAAAGCUCUCAGCUCAAGAAUAUAAACCCGCUUGACUGUACUUUUCACGCCUUUGCUAUUGCUCGCUUAUGAUCUUUAUAUACAUGUACAUGAUUUAGUUGUGCUACUAUUAUACUACUCUUAUUCCCGCAGUCUCUUACCAAAUAAUACAUUUGUUUUGGCUAAAUAUCCUAGUAUGUUCUAUUGAAAUGAUGUAUAAAUCAUUUUAUUUAUUCAACAAUUUUUUAUUUUUUUUAUUUUAUCAGCAUUAUGGUUGUAUAAUUAUUUCAAUGAAAGUUGAUGAAGAAAAUUUUAAC
Molecule: long non-coding RNA, 1252 nt
Organism: Chelonus insularis
Lineage: Eukaryota; Metazoa; Arthropoda; Insecta; Hymenoptera; Braconidae
Exons: 5
Source: RefSeq, a predicted model, not a curated record